UUUGAUUCCUGGCUCAGGACCGAACGCUGGCGGCGUGCCUAACACAUGCAAGUCGAACGAGGUCCAUCCAGUGGCAACACUGGGGACGACCUAGUGGCGAACGGGUGAGUAACACGUGAGGAACUUGCCCCGGAGACCGGGAUAGCCCUCCGAAAGGAGGGCUAAUACCGGAUGUCCCCACCGAGUCGCAUGGCUUGGUGAGGAAAUGGAUUCCGCUCCGGGAGAGCCUCGCGGCCUAUCAGCUAGUUGGUGGGGUAACGGCCCACCAAGGCAUCGACGGGUAGCUGGUCUGAGAGGACGAUCAGCCACACUGGGACUGAGACACGGCCCAGACUCCUACGGGAGGCAGCAGUGGGGAAUCUUGCGCAAUGGGCGAAAGCCUGACGCAGCAACGCCGCGUGCGGGAUGAAGGCCCUCGGGUUGUAAACCGCUUUCAGUGGGGACGAACCAAGACGGUACCCACAGAAGAAGCCCCGGCCAACUACGCGCCAGCAGCCGCGGUAACACGUAGGGGGCGAGCGUUGUCCGGAUUCAUUGGGCGUAAAGAGCUCGUAGGCGGUUCGGUAAGUCGGGUGUGAAACCUCCGGGCUCAACCUGGAGACGCCACCCGAUACUGCUGUGACUAGAGUCCAGUAGGGGAGCGUGGAGUUCCUGGUGUAGCGGUGAAAUGCGCAGAUAUCAGGAGGAACACCAGUGGCGAAGGCGGCGCUCUGGGCUGGAACCGACGCUGAGGAGCGAAAGCGUGGGGAGCGAACAGGAUUAGAUACCCUGGUAGUCCACGCCGUAAACGUUGGGUACUAGGUGUGGGGUCUUAUCAACGGAUUCCGUGCCGAAGCUAACGCAUUAAGUACCCCGCCUGGGGAGUACGGCCGCAAGGCUAAAACUCAAAGGAAUUGACGG
This 900-nucleotide ribosomal RNA is filed under the name uncultured bacterium. Its description in RNAcentral is "bacterial SSU rRNA". It matches the Rfam family "Bacterial small subunit ribosomal RNA", at positions 12 to 916 of the family's 1533-position model. The record is from RNAcentral.